RNAcentral lists this ribosomal RNA (253 nucleotides) under uncultured bacterium. Its description in RNAcentral is "partial 16S ribosomal RNA". It matches the Rfam family "Bacterial small subunit ribosomal RNA", at positions 524 to 776 of the family's 1533-position model. The record is from RNAcentral.
UACGGAGGGUGCAAGCGUUGUCCGGAAUCACUGGGCGUAAAGGGCGCGUAGGCGGCUCAUGAAGGCUGUGGUGAAAGUCCGGGGCUCAACCUCGGAUCGGCCGUGGCGACUCGUGGGCUGGAGCACUGUAGAGGCUAAUGGAAUUCCGGGUGUAGCGGUGGAAUGCGUAGAGAUCCGGAAGAACACCGGUGGCGAAGGCGGUUAGCUGGGCAGUUGCUGACACUGAGGCGCGACAGCGUGGGGAGCAAACAGG